Molecule: long non-coding RNA, 327 nt
Organism: Mus caroli (Ryukyu mouse)
Lineage: Eukaryota; Metazoa; Chordata; Mammalia; Rodentia; Muridae
Source: RefSeq, a predicted model, not a curated record
AGGUUGCAGCUGUGUACUGUGGUCGUAUAUCCAAGCUAAGGGAAUGUCGCUGCAUCAAUCAGUCCCCAUGACAGCACUCUCCUCUGUGUGUGGGAGUACACCAGUAAUAAAUGUUCCUUCCGAGGGGUCCCCUGGCACCUCUCCUCCAUUUCUCCUUAUUUGAUUGCAGCCUGACACUUCUGCCUCUUUUCCCUCUGGGCAUAUCUUCCUGGGUCUUUGCAGGUCAUGGCUAGACUGUUGGAAGUGUCUGUCCACUGCAAGAGAUUUGAAGUAACAAAAUGGCCUCCUUAAUCAGGAAUCAGUUUCCAUCACAUUCUUGGGAGCUAA